GACGAACGCUGGCGGCGUGCUUAACACAUGCAAGUCGAACGGAAAGGCCCUGCUUUUGUGGGGUGCUCGAGUGGCGAACGGGUGAGUAACACGUGAGUAACCUGCCCUUGACUUUGGGAUAACUUCAGGAAACUGGGGCUAAUAUAGGAUCGGAGCUCCUGCUGCAUGGUGGGGGUUGGAACGUUUCGGCGGUUGGGGAUGGACUCGCGGCUUAUCAGCUUGUUGGUGGGGUAGUGGCUUACCAAGGCUUUGACGGGUAGCCGGCCUGAGAGGGUGAACGGCGACAAGAGGACUGAGAUAGGGACCAGACGCCAACGGGAGGCAGCAGUGGGGAAUAUUGCACAAUGGGCGGAAGCCUGAGGCGGCAACGCCGCGUGCGGGAUGACGGCCUUCGGGUUAUGAACCGCUUUCGCCUGUGACGAAGCGUGAGUGACGGUAAUGGAUAAAGAAGCACCGGCUAACUACGUG
Molecule: ribosomal RNA, 468 nt
Filed under: uncultured bacterium
Lineage: Bacteria
Description: partial 16S ribosomal RNA
Rfam family: Bacterial small subunit ribosomal RNA
Source: RNAcentral